This 449-nucleotide ribosomal RNA is filed under the name uncultured bacterium. Its description in RNAcentral is "SSU rRNA". It matches the Rfam family "Bacterial small subunit ribosomal RNA", at positions 26 to 518 of the family's 1533-position model. The record is from RNAcentral.
AGAGCGAACGCUGGCGGCAGGCUUAACACAUGCAAGUCGAGCGGGCGUAGCAAUACGUCAGCGGCAGACGGGUGAGUAACGCGUGGGAACGUACCUUUUGGUUCGGAACAACACAGGGAAACUUGUGCUAAUACCGGAUAAGCCCUUACGGGGAAAGAUUUAUCGCCGAAAGAUCGGCCCGCGUCUGAUUAGCUAGUUGGUGAGGUAACGGCUCACCAAGGCGACGAUCAGUAGCUGGUCUGAGAGGAUGAUCAGCCACAUUGGGACUGAGACACGGCCCAAACUCCUACGGGAGGCAGCAGUGGGGAAUAUUGGACAAUGGGCGAAAGCCUGAUCCAGCCAUGCCGCGUGAGUGAUGAAGGCCCUAGGGUUGUAAAGCUCUUUUGUGCGGGAAGAUAAUGACGGUACCGCAAGAAUAACGCCCCGGCUAACUUCGCGCCAGCAGCCGC